Long non-coding RNA from Myodes glareolus (Bank vole), 239 nucleotides. RefSeq lists it as uncharacterized. The record is from RefSeq and is a predicted model, not a curated record. NCBI's taxonomy places the organism in Eukaryota, Metazoa, Chordata, Mammalia, Rodentia, Cricetidae.
AACGCGGCUGUAAAGCCUGUGUUCGCGGUCUUUCUUUCGGCUUUCGCUUCCGGCUGCUAGAGUCUGGUCCCUGUUCGUGCAGAGGACUGUGAUCUAGGACAGUGAUCUCCUCUACCCUCAAGUCGUUUCCAGACUAGUCACGGGGUUGCUGGCCUACUUACUGAAUGCAAAGCCACAGAACAAAGAGGCCUGAAAGAAGCGGCCCAAGGACGGUUGCUGGGACGAGAGGAGGCCCCGCA